Hippoglossus stenolepis (Pacific halibut) is the source of this 1092-nucleotide long non-coding RNA. RefSeq lists it as uncharacterized. The transcript is spliced from 4 exons. The record is from RefSeq and is a predicted model, not a curated record. NCBI's taxonomy places the organism in Eukaryota, Metazoa, Chordata, Actinopteri, Pleuronectiformes, Pleuronectidae.
UCAAUGGAGACGCAUCCCUCGACAUCCCGCCUGAUACCAUAACGACCAUCUGUUGUUGUUCUACCUGGAACUUGAAGGAGAAUUCAUUCUAUUCACUCUCUUCGUCUCGUGCAGGACACGUGCUGGGUGCGCACCGGACCAAAAAUGGACCGCAGAACGUGUCCGGUGGCGCGUCCGCCUCGGUGCCGUGCCAGUGCGUCCGGGACGGAGCGAUACACAGACUGACCGGGAGGCGGACUGAACCGGACCUGCGCCGCCCGGGAGCUCCGUGGCUUUCCUGCACCUCUGUUCAGAAGAAACGUCAGGAGCAGAAUCAUUCCUCACGCAGGAGAGAGGGCAUGGACAUACUGUAGCCAGCGCUGGAAGACGAGGAGGAGGAGGAGGAUGGGGCUGUAAAAAGAGGCACAUCACCAGCUGCAGGAGGAGGCAGGAGGACACAGGAGGACGUCUUCACGGUAACAGUCGGAGAAACUGUGUUGUGAACAAGGCUCACGGAUGCAACGAGAGACCAGAGCAGCUCAUCCAGAGGGGCUCGUUCCACACGAAGGACAAAUCAGCUUUCGGCAAGGGCAGAUGGAUGAAGCUGAUCCCUCGCUCCGGAGGUGUGGAGUGACAGAUGACAGAGGGAUUGAUACAGCGGGGGAGAGCGAGAGCGGCAGCGCCGGGGAGGGUCACCGCCGCCGGUAACGGAAAACAGAAGCAAAGGUCAGGCGCAUCGAUCGGGAGUCGAGGAGGAAACAACCUGACUCUGACCUGAACGACCAGAAAGCAACUUUCUACAGCUGGGAUACAACCAAGCGAACCAGCGAGAUCUGCGUCCGACUUCAGACACUGAAGGAUGAACCCGACACCAGCCAUGGAAAUGAACGAGUCCGUUUUCAGCUCUAACUUGGGAACUCUUACGCUCUCGGAUCCAUCGUGUGGAGAAUGUAACUGAACAUUGAGAAACGACGCCGGACAGAAGUCGUCAGCCAAUGAUUUGUUGGCAAGAAAUGGCCGAUUCAACCCCAAGCAAACAAUUUGAGUUUGCAGCUAGCGAGCCUUUACGUGAAAGGAACUCCAGAACACUUUUCUGAAAUCCUCCCCCUGUUU